ACAAACCAAACAAUGGAUAAACUUUACGUGAAGGGAAAUCGAUAG
This 45-nucleotide unclassified non-coding RNA is filed under the name Leishmania tarentolae. Its description in RNAcentral is "guide RNA". The record is from RNAcentral. Lineage: Eukaryota; Euglenozoa; Kinetoplastea; Trypanosomatida; Trypanosomatidae.